RNAcentral lists this ribosomal RNA (277 nucleotides) under uncultured bacterium. RNAcentral's name for it is "partial 16S ribosomal RNA". It matches the Rfam family "Bacterial small subunit ribosomal RNA", at positions 28 to 316 of the family's 1533-position model. The record is from RNAcentral.
GAUAAACGCUGGCGGCGUGCCUAAUGCAUGCAAGUCGAACGCAGCCUUCGGGCUGAGUGGCGGACGGGUGAGGAACACGUACGAGACCUGCCCAGCGGUGGGGAAUACCCACGCGAAAGGGUGGCUAAUGCCGCAUUCGCUCCUCGGGGUGAUGCUCGGGGAGGAAAGCCGCAAGGCGCCGCUGGAGGGGCGUGCGGCCGAUUAGCUAGUUGGUGGGGUAAGAGCCUACCAAGGCGACGAUCGGUAGCUGGUCUGAGAGGAUGAUCAGCCACACUGG